CCUCCACAGCCCUGGUUCCGGGGGCCCAGAGAGGAUGCUACGGGAAGGAGAUAAACCGGUGUGGCCAAGUAAGCGCCACAAGCGCAGGGCAGGCGAAGGGUAAGCGGGGAGGAAACCACCUGGGAGGGCCCCUGUCGGCCGGCCAUUGGUCGGUGUUCAGACGGACGGUUCCUCCCGCCCCACGUGGAUAGCCUCUAUCGAGGGAGCCCCUGUCGAAGACGGCCUCCCGUCUUAUUGACAAGCUUCAACCGCGCCCCGUUCGAGCGAGAUAAAGAGGGAGAGGGAGUGGACAUUUUCUCCUUGAGAGGGGACUCCGGAUGGGAAAGAGAGAGAGAGAAGGGCCUUCCCAUUUUGAUAGGUGAUUUCUCCUUAGUAGGAGAUAGAGAGAGUGGCCUCCCACAUCGAGAGGUGUUUUCUCCCUAGUAGGAGAUAUAGAGAAUAGCUAUUCACCUUACAUAUGAUUUCCCCCGAGUAGGGGAUAGAGAGAAUGGCCUUUUCACCUUGACAGGUGUUUUCUCCUUAGUAGGAGACAUAGAGAAUAGCUAUUCACCUGACUUAUGAGGUAUCCUAGUAGGGGAUGGAGAGAAUGGCCUACUCACAUUGACAGGGUUUCUCCUUAGUAGGAGACAUAGAGAAUAGCUAUCCAUCUGACUUAUGAGGUAUCCUAGUAGGGGAUGGAGAGAAUGGCCUACUCACAUUGACGGUGUUUUCUCCUUAGUAGGAGACAUAGAGAAUAGCUAUUCACCUGACUUAUGAGGUAUCCUAGUAGGGGAUGGAGAGAAUGGCCUACUCACAUUGACGGUGUUUCUCCCUAGUAGGAGACAUAGAGAAUAGCUAUUCACCUGACACAUGAUUUCUCCUUAGUAGGAGAUAGAGAGGAUGGCCUACACACAUUGACAGGUGUUUUCUCCUUAGUAGGAGAUAUAGAGAACAGCUAUUCACCUGACAUAUGAGCUCUCCCUAAUAGGAGAUAGAGAGGAGGGCCUUCUCACCUAGAGAGGUGUUUUCUCCUUGGUAGGAGAUAUAGAGAAUAGCUAUCCACCCGACUUAGGAGGUAUCCUAGUAGGGGAUGGAGAGAUGGCCUACUCACAUUGACAGGUAUUUUCUCCUCAGUAGGAGAUAUAGAGAAUAGCUAUACAGUGGGCGUUUCCGGACACCGACAGGGCAUACGAUCAGGACCCUCCACAGCCCUGGCUCCGGGGGCCCGGGGAGGAAGCUACGGGAAGGAGAUAAACCGGUGUGGCCAAGUAAGCGCCACAAGCGCAGGGCAGGCGAAGGGUAAGCGGGGAGGAAACCACCUGGGAGGGCCCCUGUCGGCCGGCCAUUGGUCGGUGUUCAGACGGACGGUUCCUCCCGCCCCACGUGGAUAGCCUCUAUCGAGGG
This 1383-nucleotide long non-coding RNA is filed under the name Salmo salar (Atlantic salmon). Its description in RNAcentral is "lncRNA (ENSSSAG00000108400.1, ENSSSAG00000112821.1)". Lineage: Eukaryota; Metazoa; Chordata; Actinopteri; Salmoniformes; Salmonidae. The record is from RNAcentral.